GUGNGGGGUAAAGGCCCACCAAGGCGACGAUCAGUAGCCGGCCUGAGAGGGUGGCCGGCCACAUUGGGACUGAGACACGGCCCAAACUCCUACGGAAGGCAGCAG
This 105-nucleotide ribosomal RNA is filed under the name uncultured bacterium. RNAcentral describes it as "partial 16S ribosomal RNA". It matches the Rfam family "Bacterial small subunit ribosomal RNA", at positions 251 to 354 of the family's 1533-position model. The record is from RNAcentral.